AGUGAACGCUGGCGGUAGGCCUAACACAUGCAGGUCGAACGGCAGCACAGGAGAGCUUGCUCUCUGGGUGGCGAGUGGCGGACGGGUGAGGAAUACAUCGGAAUCUACUCUGUCGUGGGGGAUAACGUAGGGAAACUUACGCUAAUACCGCAUACGACCUACGGGUGAAAGCAGGGGACCUUCGGGCCUUGCGCGAUUGAGUGAGCCGAUGUCGGAUUCGCUAGUUGGCGGGGGAAAGGCGCACCAAGGCGACGAUCCGUAGCUGGUCUGAGAGGAUGAUGCGCCACACUGGAACAGAGACACGGUCCAGACUCCUACGGGAGGCAGCAGUGGGGAAUAUUGGACAAUGGGCGCAAGCCUGAUCCAGCCAUACCGCGUGGGUGAAGAAGGCCUUCGGGUUGUAAAGCCCUGUUGUUGGGAAGGAAAUCCAGCUGGCUAAUACCCGGUUGGGAUGACGGUACCCAAAGAAUAAGCACCGGCUAACUUCGUGCCAGCCGCCGCAGUAA
RNAcentral lists this ribosomal RNA (506 nucleotides) under uncultured bacterium. Its description in RNAcentral is "partial 16S ribosomal RNA". It matches the Rfam family "Bacterial small subunit ribosomal RNA", at positions 29 to 523 of the family's 1533-position model. The record is from RNAcentral.